UAAGUGAAGAGUUUGAUCCUGGCUCAGAGUGAACGCUGGCGGCAGGCCUAAUACAUGCAAGUCGAACGGCAGCACAGCAGAGCUUGCUCUGUGGGUGGCGAGUGGCGGACGGGUGAGGAAUACAU
Molecule: ribosomal RNA, 125 nt
Filed under: Pseudomonadota bacterium
Lineage: Bacteria; Pseudomonadati; Pseudomonadota
Description: partial 16S ribosomal RNA
Rfam family: Bacterial small subunit ribosomal RNA
Source: RNAcentral